Molecule: ribosomal RNA, 334 nt
Filed under: uncultured Lachnospiraceae bacterium
Lineage: Bacteria; Bacillati; Bacillota; Clostridia; Lachnospirales; Lachnospiraceae
Description: bacterial SSU rRNA
Rfam family: Bacterial small subunit ribosomal RNA
Source: RNAcentral
GAUGAACGCUGGCGGCGUGCCUAACACAUGCAAGUCGAACGGAGAUUUAACGCUGACGAGACUUCGGUCAAAUCUUGUUAAAUCUUAGUGGCGGACGGGUGAGUAACGCGUGGGCAACCUGCCGGAAAGAUGGGGACAACAUCCCGAAAGGGGUGCUAAUACCGAAUGUUGUGCGAGAGACGCAUGUUUCUUGUACUAAAGGAUUCAAUCCGCUUUCCGAUGGGCCCGCAUCCGAUUAGCUAGUUGGUGAGAUAGAGGCCCACCAAGGCGACGAUCGGUAGCCGGCCUGAGAGGGUGGACGGCCACAUUGGGACUGAGACACGGCCCAGACUCC